Molecule: ribosomal RNA, 332 nt
Filed under: uncultured bacterium
Lineage: Bacteria
Description: bacterial SSU rRNA
Rfam family: Bacterial small subunit ribosomal RNA
Source: RNAcentral
CGUGUAGGCGGUUUCUUCAGUCCGAUGUGAAAGCCCGGGGCUCACCCUCGGAAGUGCAUCGGAUACUGGGAGACUCGAGUACCGGAGAGGAGGGUGGAAUUCCUGGUGUAGCGGUGAAAUGCGUAGAUAUCAGGAGGAACACCGGUGGCGAAGGCGGCCCUCUGGACGGAUACUGACGCUGAGACGCGAAAGCGUGGGGAGCAAACAGGAUUAGAUACCCUGGUAGUCCACGCUGUAAACGAUGGGUACUAGGUGUUCGGGGUAUUGACCCCCUGAGUGCCGCAGCUAACGCAUUAAGUACCCCGCCUGGGGACUACGGCCGCAAGGUUAAA